AUUGAACGCUGGCGGCAGGCCUAACACAUGCAAGUCGAACGGUAACAGGAAGAAGCUUGCUUCUUUGCUGACGAGUGGCGGACGGGUGAGUAAUGUCUGGGAAACUGCCUGAUGGAGGGGGAUAACUACUGGAAACGGUAGCUAAUACCGCAUAACGUCGCAAGACCAAAGAGGGGGACCUUCGGGCCUCUUGCCAUCGGAUGUGCCCAGAUGGGAUUAGCUUGUUGGUGGGGUAACGGCUCACCAAGGCGACGAUCCCUAGCUGGUCUGAGAGGAUGAACGGCCACAUUGGGACUGAGACACGGCCCAG
This 310-nucleotide ribosomal RNA is filed under the name uncultured bacterium. Its description in RNAcentral is "bacterial SSU rRNA". It matches the Rfam family "Bacterial small subunit ribosomal RNA", at positions 30 to 334 of the family's 1533-position model. The record is from RNAcentral.